AGUGGGGAAUAUUGGACAAUGGGCGAAAGCCUGAUCCAGCCAUGCCGCGUGGAUGAUGAAGGCCCUAGGGUUGUAAAGUCCUUUCGACGGGGAAGAUAAUGACGGUACCCGUAGAAGAAGCCCCGGCUAACUUCGUGCCAGCAGCCGCGGUAAUACGAAGGGGGCUAGCGUUGCUCGGAAUCACUGGGCGUAAAGCGCACGUAGGCGGCUUGUUAAGUCGGGGGUGAAAUCCUGGAGCUCAACUCCAGAACUGCCCUCGAUACUGAUGAGCUCGAGUCCGGGAGAGGUGAGUGGAACUGCGAGUGUAGAGGUGAAAUUCGUAGAUAUUCGCAAGAACACCAGUGGCGAAGGCGGCUCACUGGCCCGGUACUGACGCUGAGGUGCGAAAGCGUGGGGAGCAAA
This 402-nucleotide ribosomal RNA is filed under the name uncultured Hyphomicrobiales bacterium. RNAcentral's name for it is "bacterial SSU rRNA". It matches the Rfam family "Bacterial small subunit ribosomal RNA", at positions 353 to 772 of the family's 1533-position model. Lineage: Bacteria; Pseudomonadati; Pseudomonadota; Alphaproteobacteria; Hyphomicrobiales. The record is from RNAcentral.